Molecule: transfer RNA, 77 nt
Filed under: bacterium
Lineage: Bacteria
Also listed under: 1 other name
Description: tRNA-Ala
Rfam family: tRNA
About the family: Transfer RNA (tRNA) molecules are approximately 80 nucleotides in length. Their secondary structure includes four short double-helical elements and three loops (D, anti-codon, and T loops).
Source: RNAcentral
GGGGGAUUAGCUCAGCUGGCUAGAGCGCCUGCCUUGCAAGCAGGAGGUCAGCGGUUCGAAACCGCUAUCCUCCACCA